CUGCAGCUCAAGUGGUGACCGCUAUUAUUGGGCCUAAAACGUUCGUAGCCGGCUGAGUAAAUGCUUGGGUAAAUCGUGCCGCUUAACGGUACAAAUUCCGGGUAGACUACUCAGCUUGAGACCGGGAGAAGCUAGAGGUACUCCUGGGGUAGAGGUGAAAUUCUGUAAUCCUGGGGGGACCACCAGUGGCGAAGGCGUCUAGCUAGAACGGGUCUGACGGUGAGGGACGAAACCCUGGGGCGCGCACCGGAUUAGAUACCCGAGUAGUCC
RNAcentral lists this ribosomal RNA (270 nucleotides) under uncultured archaeon. RNAcentral's name for it is "partial 16S ribosomal RNA". It matches the Rfam family "Archaeal small subunit ribosomal RNA", at positions 477 to 747 of the family's 1478-position model. The record is from RNAcentral.